RNAcentral lists this ribosomal RNA (465 nucleotides) under uncultured bacterium. RNAcentral describes it as "partial 16S ribosomal RNA". It matches the Rfam family "Bacterial small subunit ribosomal RNA", at positions 28 to 507 of the family's 1533-position model. The record is from RNAcentral.
GAUGAACGCUGGCGGCGUGCUUAACACAUGCAAGUCGAACGGAAAGGCCCCAGCUUGCUUGGGUACUCGAGUGGCAAACGGGUGAGUAACACGUGGGUGCUCUGCCCUGCACUUCGGGAUCAGCCUGGGAAACUGGGUCUAAUACCGGAUAGGCCCCCAUUUUGGAUGGUGUGGUGGAAAGUUUUUCGGUGUGGGAUGAGCUCGCGGCCUAUCAGCUUGUUGGUGGGGUAAUGGCCUACCAAGGCGUCGACGGGUAGCCGGCCUGGGAGGGGGUACGGCCACAUUGGGACUGAGAUACGGCCAGGACUCCUACGGGAGGAAGCAGGGGGGAAUAUGGCACAAUGGGCGCAAGCCUGAUGCAGCGACGCGGCGUGGGGGAUGACGGCCUUCGGGUUGUAAACGCCUUCCGCUAGGGACGAAGCGCAAGUGACGGUACCGGGAGAAGAAGCACCGGCUAACUACGUG